CAGUCGCCACGGUAAUACGAAGGGGGCUAGCGUUGUUCGGAAUUACUGGGCGUAAAGCGCACGUAGGCGGAUAUUUAAGUCAGGGGUGAAAUCCCAGAGCUCAACUCUGGAACUGCCUUUGAUACUGGGUAUCUUGAGUAUGGAAGAGGUGAGUGGAAUUCCGAGUGUAGAGGUGAAAUUCGUAGAUAUUCGGAGGAACACCAGUGGCGAAGGCGGCUCACUGGUCCAUUACUGACGCUGAGGUGCGAAAGCGUGGGGAGCAAACAGGAUUAGAUACCCGUGUAGUCCCUGUCUCUUAUAA
RNAcentral lists this ribosomal RNA (301 nucleotides) under uncultured bacterium. RNAcentral describes it as "partial 16S ribosomal RNA". It matches the Rfam family "Bacterial small subunit ribosomal RNA", at positions 509 to 809 of the family's 1533-position model. The record is from RNAcentral.